AAAUAAUGCAGCCAUGAGUUUCUGUACCUAACUUGAUCAUCCGUCUUAUUUAAAAAAUUUUAUAACUAGAUUUUUGUUGUUAUGAGAUGAUGAAAUAUGAAUAAUACUUUACUCGUGACUUAAGUUUUUAAAUUUUGUUCAAAUAAGACGAACGGUUAAAGUUGACCACGGAAAACCAUAGCUGCACUUAUU
This is a non-coding RNA of Oryza barthii, 192 nucleotides long. The record is from Rfam. NCBI's taxonomy places the organism in Eukaryota, Viridiplantae, Streptophyta, Magnoliopsida, Poales, Poaceae.